ACAACUUAAGUGACUACGCCAGGCAAGGAUCAACAGCCCAGAAACAAAAUACAAUGGCUGGAAGCACAAAGGUUAGCUGGCACCAACAAAUACGUGCAGUCCUGGCUCCUAUGAACUGCAGGUUAAAGUCCUAUGUGGACCAGCAGCAGAGAGUGACAUUGGUUUCCAAGGAAGCCUUUAAUCUGAAGAUACUUCAAAAGUUUCAGAAAACCUUGAUCUAAUCUGACAAAUUGCGGCACCUCCAGAGGAUUCGUUCACCUUGAAGCGUUUCUUUUCCCUUUCCUUUGCUUUUUAUCCUCCGUUGUGACGUGAGGAGGUGAUAAAAGUGGCCCCCCACUGCCGAUGUGAAAGGUAUCCAGUUUCUCCAGAGCGGAUGUUCUGACAGCUCACAUAGUCAACUGCUGAUCCAGGGAAUGAGUUCGUGUCCUGCCUCCGCUGCCUGGCCAAGCCUGGGCACAGUGUCAGCAGGCGAGCCCCACGUUCUGCCUUGCAAGCCUGCCCAAAGCCACGGGCUGAUGCAGGGAGCAGUGAUGCGUGCUGUUUUCUUCCCUCUUUGCCUUCUCCACAACUCCUGGAAUGUGUUUGCAUAUGGUGGAAAAAAUGCGAGGAGCAGCGAGAUGCAGUCAGGGACAUUGCCCUGCCUGUCGGCACUAGGCUUGGACUGGGACCAUCGUGACCGUGGAGGUCGGGGCAGCCUCUGCAGCUUGUAGCAGUUGACCAGCUCAGAGAUGAGCUGAAUUUUUGAGGAAAUCCAUUGUGAAAUUAAAAUAGAGGAAAAUCUAUCUUCUGCACAAUCUCGGUGAACACAGGCUUGAAGCAAACCCUGUUUUGAUCAGAAAACUGGCUAGCUAGUAUGAAAUAUUUUACAAACUUUCAAACCCAUCUUCUCCUCCUCAUUUCAUUAAUGGGUAUCUUUUAUCCUGUCCUAAGCAACAGCAAGAAGACUAAUUAGUUUAACAAGUACAACAAAUGGUUUUAUUGACAAAAAAGAACCCUUUGAAAUAUACAUUACAUUCACAAAGGAUUAAAUUACACCCUAUUAUCCAUUUUCCAUAAAAUAAAGAUUACUUU
Gallus gallus (chicken) is the source of this 1071-nucleotide long non-coding RNA. The record is from Ensembl. Lineage: Eukaryota; Metazoa; Chordata; Aves; Galliformes; Phasianidae.